GGCAGCGUAGCUCAGUUGGUAGAGCGCGGGAUUCAUAAGCCCAAGGUCCCCGGUUCGAGUCCGGGCGCUGCUA
This 73-nucleotide transfer RNA is filed under the name Phycisphaerae bacterium. RNAcentral describes it as "tRNA-Met". It matches the Rfam family "tRNA". Rfam says of the family: Transfer RNA (tRNA) molecules are approximately 80 nucleotides in length. Their secondary structure includes four short double-helical elements and three loops (D, anti-codon, and T loops). Lineage: Bacteria; Pseudomonadati; Planctomycetota; Phycisphaerae. The record is from RNAcentral.